AUGGGAUCCUCCCUAAAAUGGCCUAAAAGUGAUGUAUGGGAUGGUUUAGGGUCUAGAGGGGUGGGCACGAGGUUGGAUCCCACAAAGGGUUUCAGCUCGGGUACCCCAGAGUCUGAAUUUUGGUGCCUCUCCCCACAGCUCCCAGCAGCGCAGCGGGGGCCCAGGCGUGGUGGCGGGGGCCGCAGCCCCCCCGGCAUGGAUUCAACGCUGCGGCCCAGCAAGGCGAGGGGCCUCGCCUCCAGCACCGAGCUGAGCAUGAAGCAACCACCGCCGGCACCCGAGGGCCGCUCCCGCUUGCAGAAAGUCUCGCUGGUGUCGCGACGGCUGGAGCAGACGGCGGCCGGGGGGGGCCGUGACGGCAGCCCCUCCCGCGUCUCCCUCCUGCUGCAGGCUUGGGAGAGGGAGAUCGUGGAGAAGACAUCGACCGGGCCGGCCCCGGUGGCACCCCGGAGCUGCUCGUCCUCCGUCAGCGUCCUCAAGGACUUCACGGCGCACGGCCCCGUCUUCUCGCAGGUCUACUCGCCCGCUCAGAAACCCCGGAAGAAAGAUGAGAAGCAGGGGGGUGACAGCAACACGGCUGCGCCCCGGGACGUCCCCGUGCACCGGGAGAGCUACAUGCACGGCGCCCUCCUCCCCGCCAACCCCGCGGCCACCGCAGCCCCCUGCCACCGCUCGCCCCGCGGUGGCCCCGGCGCAGCCGAGCCCAGGGCCAGGCACGUCACGGUGCUGCGGGGGGGCAAGGAGGGAGCUGGCAGCAAGCCGGGGGGCGCAGAGGGGAGGAGAACCCAAAACGGGGUGCACAAGGCUGCCGGCACCCCCACGGCCCCGUCGCAGAGGGAGAGCUGUGAGCAGGGUGCUGGUGGCUCCGCCGAGGUCGCGGCACGCACGGGAAGCUCGCCGGGUGCCUCGGGUGCUGGGGGAGCCCCCGGGGAAAAAUGUUCGAGGCAAGGUGAGGCUGUGACAGUGAAGGCGGCGUCAAGAGAUGGCGACAGGCCCCAGGACCAGCAAACCAGUAAAACCAGUGCCCAGCAGCCCCCAGAGGACGUCGGCAGCCAGGCAGAUCAGGCUGGUGUGGGAGAGGGAAGCACGGUGGUGGAUGGGGAUGGCACUGGUUUGGCCACACUGUCCAGGACAGAGAGCUCUGGGGGAGCUGAUGGCACCCCCAAAAACCUCUCCUUGGAGGUGAGCAAUGGUCCUGAGCCCUUACCUGAAGCACGAGCAUCUCCAAAGGGUGCAGAAGCUGAGAAGGAGGAGGGGGAGAUGUCGGGGGACCCCCAAAAAAUGGUCCAAGGGCCUGAGAGCAUCCCUGAGCCCCAACCUGAGACCAUCCCAGAGCCCCCCACGGAGACCACCCCUGAGCCUCCCACGGAGAGCACCCCAGAGCCCCAACCUGAGAGCACCCCAGAACCCGAGCGCACCCCAGAGCCCCCGCAGAACCCCCCAGCCCCUUCCCCACUGCCCGAGAGCCCCCCGGACGCGGCGGAGGAGGACCCCGAGCUGGUGGUGGACAUGGAGAUCUUCGUGGACACGCUGCGCAACAUGGAGCCCUCGGAGAUGCGGAAGGCACCCAAGGCUCCUCGCCAGCCCCGGCCCUCAGCGCUGGGUCGCUGCGCGGCGCUGCCGCCCAUCCACGAGGACCGCGUGGCCCCGCGCGCCCCCGUCUCGCUGCCCGACGCCCUGCGGGAGCUCCUGGUGAGGGGCGGCGGGGGGCGGCGGGCAGAGCCCCCCCUGGAGAGCUCCAGGAGCCUCAAGGAGGAGGAGGAAGAGGAGGAGGAGAUCGAGAACCCCUACCUGAGCCCCGGGGAGAGGGCGUCGCGGGGGUCUCGCCGUGGCACCGGGGGGCUGGACACGCUCCGGGGGGGACCCAAGCUGGAGGGAGCAGAGGAGAGAAGCAAAGCGGCGCCGGGCAGGGCGGCGGGGGAGCGGAGCGUGCUGUUCCGAGGGAACGUCCUGAAGGGCAUGGCGCUGCUCUCCGAUUUCCUGGAGCACCGGGCGGCCGCGGCGGACGAGGCCAAGCCCUACUCGCGCCUGGACAACAGCGUGCUCUACAGCCGCUUCGUCGCCCCCACCCCACCCUACAGGGAGCAGCGGGACCAGAGCUCGCCCCCCGGUGAGCACCCCGGCACGGAGGUGGCCGAGCUGCAAGCCCCAAGUCCUGGUCACAUCCAGCCUGUCACUGAAGAGCCGGAGAGCACCACGGAGCCGUGCCCCGCUGAUGUGCCGGUGAGUGACACCCGUCCCAUGGCUCCUGGGGGUGCUCUGCCCUGCUGGGCGCACGGGAGGUGGUGGGGUCUGGCUUUAUGGCACGUCUGA
Molecule: long non-coding RNA, 2313 nt
Filed under: Anas zonorhyncha (Eastern spot-billed duck)
Lineage: Eukaryota; Metazoa; Chordata; Aves; Anseriformes; Anatidae
Description: lncRNA (ENSAZOG00000008705.1)
Source: RNAcentral